RNAcentral lists this ribosomal RNA (465 nucleotides) under uncultured bacterium. Its description in RNAcentral is "partial 16S ribosomal RNA". It matches the Rfam family "Bacterial small subunit ribosomal RNA", at positions 28 to 507 of the family's 1533-position model. The record is from RNAcentral.
GACGAACGCUGGCGGCGUGCUUAACACAUGCAAGUCGAACGGAAAGGCCCUGCUUGCGGGGUACUCGAGUGGCGAACGGGUGAGUAACACGUGGGUGAUCUGCCCUGCACUUCGGGAUAAGCCUGGGAAACUGGGUCUAAUACCGGAUAGGAGCCAUUUUUAGUGUGAUGGUUGGAAAGUUUUUUCGGUGUAGGAUGAGCUCGCGGCCUAUCAGCUUGUUGGUGGGGUAAUGGCCUACCAAGGCGGCGACGGGUAGCCGGCCUGAGAGGGUGGACGGCCACAUUGGGACUGAGAUACGGCCCAGACUCCUACGGGAGGCAGCAGUGGGGAAUAUUGCACAAUGGGCGCAAGCCUGAUGCAGCGACGCCGCGUGGGGGAUGACGGCCUUCGGGUUGGAAACUCCUUUCGCUAGGGACGAAGCUUUUUGUGACGGUACCUAGAUAAGAAGCACCGGCUAACUACGUG